AAAGUAUCUGGCUGAAUGGGCAGCUCCUGUGCUUGACCUCACACCUCCUCAGUCAGCAGAUCCAGGGGCUUUGCCCAGGCUCUGUCAGGGGGCUGCACAAGGAGGGAGUACUCGCUCCUCCUGUUCUUGCACAAGUGAUGAUGAAAAUGGACUGUGUUAGGGUAGUCCAGAGACUGGGAAGACGUGAGGUUGUCUGGGGCUGGUCAGCCAUGUGUGCAGCAGCUUGGCACUGCACUGAGCUGCAGUGCUCAGGGAGGUCCUUGUGCUGGAAAGCAGUCAUUUCAUCUCCCUCGAGCUCUGGAAAAGCUGGUACCUACAGAGCACAGGGUUUCCUGGAAUUGCUAAUACACCUUUUCUAGCAGGAAGUUCACUGUGAAUCCACCCUGGUGCUAGGUGAGACAAGAAAUGCUCUGGGGACAAUAGGGCUCUGAAUUUCCUGUCAGUAUUACUCUCAGCAGUUCAACUCCAGAUCUAAUGUGAGCCAGAGUACAGCUCCUCACUGUGGAUGGGGGGAAAUUCAACUCAACAGAUAUUUUCCUUGCCUACAAUACCAGGUUUCUACUACCUGAGGGCACAGGGGACAACUGAAAGGAAAAUUGAAAAGAAGCAUGGUGCAAUUAUCAGCCAGCUUCUGUUCUCUUAAGUUCAUUAUUUUCUUUAGCCAAAACAAAUUAUAAUCCAAGACAAGUUCUGAAUUUGUAAAAUUAAGUUCUUGGCUUCUGUGAAGAUAAGCAUUUUUUCUCUUUUCCCUCUUGACCUUGUUUUCAAACUACCUUUCUUAUUAAUAUUUUUUUAACAUGAAUGAAAAGUUGUCCAUGUAUAGAUUAUCUUUCCAUCCUAAUUUCAUCUGGCACAGCAGGCUUCUUGUGGAGCUAUUCUUACAGGAGGUAAUGUGCACCAUGGGCGUGCUCUGGCAGUGAGGAGAGGGCAGCACUGGAGGAGGCUGUGCGGCCACUCCUGACAUUCCACCCACAGAAAUGCCGGGGAACGCGUGUUAGUUUAACUCCUGCUCACCUAGACUUGGUGCCUAGAGCUUCCCAUGGAGCAGCGCACAGGAUCUAACCUGAAGCUGUCAGAC
This 1078-nucleotide long non-coding RNA is filed under the name Cyanistes caeruleus (blue tit). RNAcentral describes it as "lncRNA (ENSCCEG00000010584.1)". The record is from RNAcentral. Lineage: Eukaryota; Metazoa; Chordata; Aves; Passeriformes; Paridae.